AGUGAACGCUGGCGGUAGGCCUAACACAUGCAAGUCGAACGGCAGCACAGUAAGAGCUUGCUCUUACGGGAGGCGAGUGGCGGACGGGUGAGGAAUACAUCGGAACCUACUUUUUCGUGGGGGAUAACGUAGGGAAACUUACGCUAAUACCGCAUACGACCUACGGGUGAAAGCAGGGGAUCUUCGGACCUUGCGCGAUUGAAUGAGCCGAUGUCGGAUUAGCUAGUUGGCGGGGUAAAGGCCCACCAAGGCGACGAUCCGUAGCUGGUCUGAGAGGAUGAUCAGCCACACUGGAACUGAGACACGGUCCAGACUCCUACGGGAGGCAGCAGUGGGGAAUAUUGGACAAUGGGCGCAAGCCUGAUCCAGCCAUACCGCGUGGGUGAAGAAGGCCUUCGGGUUGUAAAGCCCUUUUGUUGGGAAAGAAAAGCAGCAGGUUAAUACCCCGCUGUUCUGACGGUACCCAAAGAAUAAGCACCGGCUAACUUCGUG
This 492-nucleotide ribosomal RNA is filed under the name uncultured bacterium. RNAcentral's name for it is "partial 16S ribosomal RNA". It matches the Rfam family "Bacterial small subunit ribosomal RNA", at positions 29 to 507 of the family's 1533-position model. The record is from RNAcentral.